RNAcentral lists this ribosomal RNA (468 nucleotides) under uncultured bacterium. Its description in RNAcentral is "partial 16S ribosomal RNA". It matches the Rfam family "Bacterial small subunit ribosomal RNA", at positions 28 to 507 of the family's 1533-position model. The record is from RNAcentral.
GACGAACGCUGGCGGCGUGCUUAACACAUGCAAGUCGAACGGAAAGGCCCUGCUUUUGUUGGGUGCUCGUGUGGCGAACGGGUGAGUAACACGUGAGUAACCUGCCCCUGUCUUUGGGAUAACUUCACGAAACUGGGGCUCAUACCCGAUAUGAGCUCCUGCUGCAUGGUGGGGGUUGGAAAGUUUCGGCGGUUGGGGAUGGACUCGCGGCUUAUCCGCUUGUUGGUGGGGUAGUGGCUUACCAAGGCUUUGACGGGUAGCCUGCCUGAGAGGGUGACCGGCCACAUUGGGACUGAGAUACGGCCCAGAAUCCAACGGGAGGCAGCAGUGGGGAAUAUUGCACAAUGGGCGGAAGCCUGAUGCAGCAACGCCGCGUGCGGGAUGACGGCCUUCGGGUUGUAAACCGCUUUCGCCUGUGACGAAGAGUGAGUGACGGUAAUGGGUAAAGAAGCACCGGCUAACUACGUG